UGACUCUAGAUAACCCCGGGCAGAUCGCAUGUCUCCGUGACGGCGAAGAUGCAUUCGGAUGUCUGCCCUAUCAACUUUCGAUGGUACUUUCUGUGCCUACCAUGGUGACCAUGGGUAAUGGGGAAUCAGGGUUCGAUUCCGGAGAAGGAGCAUGAGAAACAGCUACCACAUCCAAGGAAGGCA
Molecule: non-coding RNA, 183 nt
Organism: Pelobates cultripes (western spadefoot toad)
Lineage: Eukaryota; Metazoa; Chordata; Amphibia; Anura; Pelobatidae
Source: the annotation of a GenBank genome assembly